Long non-coding RNA from Alligator mississippiensis (American alligator), 3531 nucleotides. RefSeq lists it as uncharacterized. The transcript is spliced from 2 exons. Lineage: Eukaryota; Metazoa; Chordata; Crocodylia; Alligatoridae. The record is from RefSeq and is a predicted model, not a curated record.
CAGAUCCCUCCUGAAUACAAAUUUACGCAGCACUGCUACAAGCAAUGAGCUGGAUUAUCAAGAGCUAAUGAUUUACUGGGUUUGCAGGGGAUGGGGCUAUGCCAGCUAAGAGUUGAGCCUGGCCCUGUCUUCUGUGAGCGGUCUCUAACCUUUUUAAGUAAGAGAUCACCUUUGGCAUUUAAAAGCAACCCAAGACCUACUGUGCACUGCCGCUUUCCCCUACCUCUCCCCACCCAGCAGGUAACUUGAUUUGAUACAUACGCUCAACAAUGAAGAUUUUUACCAGAACAAAAAGCAAUUACAGUUGAAAGAAAAGAAAAAUAACCAUUUUUCAACUAACCCAAAACUAACUGCAGCCAAUAUGUGAUUCUCUUCAUCAGGGAGUAAGUGAUCACAAGUGACAAAAAGGCUGUUCCUAGAGCUGCAACAAGAGAUGAUCAUCAGAGAACUUCUUCAGAGUUGUUCAAGUUGUUGUUAUACUCACCAUUACUUUCCAGUCUAAGGAUCAAUUAUUGUGGAAUCACAGUUGUGAUUCUGUAGUUAAAACUGAAAUAAUUCUUUUGUUCUCAACCCUCAAAAGAGGUACCUUUCCCAAAAGAACUGCCUUUUCUGUUGAACUUCAUCAUUCCUAGCUUUAGCUUCAUGGUGAACUAUAGUAAGCAUGAAUGAUCACACAUGCAUUACCUACAGCAAUUCAGACACAGCAGCACAUAUAAAGCCAAGCUAAGCUGUCCCUCAAGAAAAACCAAGGAUUGAAAAGUUGAGAAAUCGCCAGCAGCUAUUGGUCUACUUGCUGUUUUGGUAACCUAAACAGAAAAAGAACUGUUUCAAUAUGAAACCCAAUAUAACCUGCUAAAAUAUACAUUACAGGCAAAAAUCAUAUCUUAAUGCAGGGGUCAGCAAUGUAUUUGGGCAGAGUGCCAAAUGCAUCCCAGCCUUGACUUGUAAGAUGUUGAUGUGCCAGGGGCAGACAGCAGGGGAGUCAAGAGGGACCUAAUCCUUGUUGUGGCAGUGCUACCCCAGCCCCUUCCCUACUGUCUGCCUGGAGGCACAUGUACUCCACCACUGGCAACGAGCCAGGCUGGGGCUCUAUGGACCCCAGUGCAGCUGCUUGCAACCUCCCCACUGUCUGCUGUGAACAGCUCGGGCUUUGUGGUAGGCAGCAAGGACAUGCCCAGAGCCCAGGUCAGCUGCAACAGGCAACCAGAAGGCUGCAAAGCAGCUGUACGGGGAUCCACAAAGUUCUGGCCUAGCUUGUUGCCGGUGGCAGGUACACAUGUGCUUCCCAGCUGCUGGCCACGGCUGGCCCAGGUUCUGGGCAGGUCUUUGCCACCCACUAUGGAGCCCAGCCUACUUGUAGCAGGUGGCAAAGAGGCGGCAAACAGUUGCACCAGGGUGCAUGGAGGUCCAGCCUGGCUCACUGACAGUUGUGGGUCUUGGGGCAGAUGGUGGGGGAGUCACAAAGGAUCUGAUCCUUGUUGUGGCAGCACAGCCUCAGUCCUUGAGGCACACAUGCUAAGCAAAAUGCCUUCACUUGUCACACUCUGGCAUGUGUGCCAGGAGCUGUCGACUCCCGCUUUAGUACAAUGUAUACCGGUUAAAGAAGAAGCUCAAACCUCACUGUUUAACACCCUCCCUCACUUCCAAAAAAACCCAGACCCAUAAAUAACUAGCUACACAACAUGGCAGUGCCCAAUACUCUAGCAAGAGAUAUGUUCCAUGUGACAGAAUCAAAGCAAGUGGUCUGGAAGGGAGUGAAAAAGACUGGUUUUGAGAACGUAAUUGUCAGGUUAAUGAAUUUCCUGAGAGGUCUGGAGAGGUUUCCCACCAGAACUGAGCGACCAGAACGAGGGGCUUUCUGCUUGCUGCCACACACAAUGAUAUUAUAAUGUUCUUUGAAAUGAAGGCACAUGCAGAACUAGUCAGAGAAUAAUGGUUGCCAGUCAGAGAAUAACUAUUAAGGGUCCUAUUCCAUUAACUUUUCCCCCUUUUGCAUCCUGAAUAUGGCACCCCUCUCUGCAUCCGUGUUCAAACAGAUUAAAAUGUCUCCAAUAAGCGAACAGACUGCAAAAUUCUACCUAAACAUGCAGAACCCCCUCUGCUGAUUUGUUCUGCUAAUAAGGGCUGGAACCUGUGUAAGGAAGAUGUGCAGUCAUUGUUAGUCAUUUGAAAGCACCCUUCAAAUUUGUCCUUGCCUUGGUGUAAGACAAAAGAAGUUUUACUUCAUGAAAAGGCCAGAGAUUUACUUACUCAUCAAACAUUUAAAGGAGCCUGCCUGUUCUUUUCAAGUUCAUGAAGCUUUCUCUACUGUUUUGUCAUACUCCUGAUCCCACAUGUCAUUGAUUGUACAGCCUGCUCCACGCAUCAGAACUGCUUCAGCACCAAACAGUGACAGCAUAUACCAGUCUGGAAAGCGACAUGGCUCUGCAGCCAAGCCUAUGCUUCAAGUAUAUGUCAGAUACAACAGCCAUGUUCCUAAGGAAAAAAAUAGAAGUUGACAAGGAUUAGGAAAAGAGAAAUCAUAGUGGAAUUAUUCCUCAGGAUACCAUCAACAGCAGAUAAAUACUGAAUGAACUAAUUAACAACUUCUAAAACUGCAAAACCAAAGCUGAGAAAGAUUUAAGCUAUAAAUGCAAGGCAAUGUAGUCUGACAAUUUCCUCCUCUUAGUUUUCUUAGCUCUUUUCCUCCUCUUAGUUUUCUUCUUGGCUAAACUGUUAAAUAAAAGUACUUUUAAAAGACAUUUCCCCUGCCCAGACUUUUCAACAAAACAGAAGACUGAACUGUGAAGAAAAUGCAACGUUUGAAAAAUCAGCCAGAUAUUCAGGCAGGACAGAAAGCACGUUUGCUAGGCCAUCCUGCUCUCUCUUCAGAACAAAUUUGUGGCUACCUUUACAAUUUUUCACAAUUAAAUACUCCUGGAAGUGUCCUCUUUAGUUCAUAUUUCAGAGGUUAUAGCCAUGUUUGGUCUAAGAACAUAGGCAGACAAGGUUCUUUGUGUAGAUGUGGUAUCUUUUAUUAGACCAAACAAAUAGUUGGAAAAAUUGUUCUUUGCAAGCUUCUGGGCACAAACACCCUUCUACAGGCAUAUGGAGAGUCUGCUAGUGUAUGUACUUUCCUGGGUGGAAAAGAAGCCAAAAUGCAAAAUGGAGGUCUGUAAAAAUGCAAAUACAUGGCAAUGAGGAUCAGAGGCCAUGGGAGACAAUAGGUACAAGGACAGGUAGGUGGUGGGAAAAUAGGGGAGAAUGUUGACCUGGUGAUAGAAUGUAGCUUGUAAAAUGCAGAUAGGUUACCUGGGGUUAGAUGUCAGGCAGGUUAUAAUGUGGCAUGAAUCAAUGUCUGUAUUUUGUCCAUUUUAUGUAUCCAGUAGAUUUAUGAAGUGAAGUUCGUAGGCUUGUCUACGAAAGGUGUUUUGUAAAUUCCCUUUGAGAAUUAGAAGUGAGACUAGAGAGAGAGUGGUUGACUUGUGAGAAGUGUGCACCCACAGGUAAUUGGAUAUUUUUGUCUUUGAUAAAAUUUUCAGUGUGCAUUCA